Molecule: long non-coding RNA, 329 nt
Filed under: Phascolarctos cinereus (koala)
Lineage: Eukaryota; Metazoa; Chordata; Mammalia; Diprotodontia; Phascolarctidae
Description: lncRNA (ENSPCIG00000026344.2)
Source: RNAcentral
UUGAUGUCUCUUCACUGGCUAUAGAUGUUUUCCUGUUCUUUACUGCCAUCCAGAUUUUCUUGAACAACAAGACUGGAUAAGCAAGAACCACAUGGAAGGUAAAGAAGAUCAGAAAAUGUUUUCAGUGUCCAGCCAUAGAGUUUCAGUGUCCAAGCAGAACAGCACAUCAAGUCAGAAGUUUGCCUUCUCCUGAAUUUACCUUUCUGGGCCCUUUGAACUCCAAACACAAUCAAGGUCUCAGGUUGGUAGUGUUAAGAAGUGGGGAAGAGAAUAGUGAAAAUGGAAACUUGAAAGGAGCAAAUAAAAAGUAGUGUCAGAAUCAGAACCCA